This 534-nucleotide unclassified non-coding RNA is filed under the name Hevea brasiliensis (rubber tree). The record is from RNAcentral. Lineage: Eukaryota; Viridiplantae; Streptophyta; Magnoliopsida; Malpighiales; Euphorbiaceae.
CUGACCCUAAGAGGAUUAUUGGAUUGAGAAAGACACUUGUUUUCUACAAGGGAAGAGCUCCAAGAGGAAGCAAGACUGAUUGGGUCAUGAAUGAAUAUCGCCUGCCUGAUUCUUGCCGCUCACCUAAGGAUAUAGUCUUGUGUAAGAUAUAUAGGAAGGCAACCUCCUUGAAGGUGCUGGAGCAAAGGGCUGCAAUGGAAGAAGAAAUGAAGACAAUUCAUGCAUCUCCACCGUCAUCUCCACUUUCUUCAUUGGACAACAUGUCAUUUUGCAGCAAACCCCAGUGGCUCCAAUAUGUCUUCACCAUGUGGUUUUCAAGAAAGAACUAGAAGAUUUGGCAAUGGUGAAUGAUGAUGAUAAUAUUGAUAACAAAAAUUAUACAAGAGACGAAAAGGAAAAGGGGAAGAAAGGGUCUUCUCUGCAAUUACCAAAUGGAAAUGACAAGCUAACAGAGCUGGAAGUGCCCAAAUUGAGCAUGGACUGGAAUAAUCAGGACAUCAAUUUUUGGUUGAACAGUCCUUGGCUUCAAAGUUU